RNAcentral lists this long non-coding RNA (1531 nucleotides) under Delphinapterus leucas (beluga whale). RNAcentral describes it as "lncRNA (ENSDLEG00000008297.1)". The record is from RNAcentral. Lineage: Eukaryota; Metazoa; Chordata; Mammalia; Artiodactyla; Monodontidae.
UCACCCUAGAAAACCACUUACAAUCAAAAACCGCUAAUAUUUUACAAAAUUCAGUUCAGCUUUACAUUUGGGGUGUGGGGCAUUUUAAAGUACAGACUCCUUGACGCAAGUCUACUCCAGCUUCUUACUUGAACCUCAUUUUCUGAAAGUCCAAAGUCUGGCCAUUCUGCAUAAACAGCACUUCAGAGAAACCAGUCAGCAGUUUUCUGGCGCUGCCUUAGUUUGAAAAACUUUACAUCAUGAGAAAGCAAGCCUUUUCUUGCACUUCUUAGGUGUAAACUGACGAAAAUUCUCAGUAGAGCUACAAUGACUCAAAGAGCUUUGCCCUCUGUACACUCAAAAUAUGUAGUUGAACUGAAUUUCAGUUGUUAUUUUUAAAGCCAUAAGUGACAAAGGCACUUUCUUAAUCUCCCUGAGAAAAGCAGUAUAGUGACAUAAGGGUGAAGCAGCCAGAAAAGCCAAAGUGGAGGGUGCGAUAAAAAGCCCGCACUGGAGCACACUGUCUUCACUCUCCUUUGGAAUAAAAUUUCGAUGCCUCGUUUAUAAAGUGAGCCGCCCUAAGGCUUAGUUGAAAUAAGUAAAAUGGUCAUCAGAAUCAGUGGAGGGUUUGAGGUUGCAGGAUCCCUCCUCUCCCCCAGUAGUGUUUCCGAUUCUGCAGGGCAAUUUGCAUUUCUAACAAAUUCUCGGGUGAUGGUGACCCAUCUGGCCCUAAGGCCACAGAGACCCCAAGUGGUUCGUGGCAGGACCUCAAUAAAUGCUAUUAACAUCACCAUCCAAGCUGUCCACCAGCAGGGGCCAUGGGAUAUUACGUCUCAGGGAAGAGCGACGGCCUCUGUCCAGAUGUUCCUGCCAACACGCCACGUCUCUGCACCGAAUAGAUUAGAACAGGGAGGAAGUUGGAGCAGCGGUCACUGCCUUACGGAAGGGGACCCCUUCCUCCAACUUCCGCCUCUGGGGAAAAAUAGAGGCCAUCCGCCCCCGGAGUCCUGCCCUCCCAAUUUCGCAGCCGCUGUUUUUAGCCCGCGCGGGAGCCUGUCCUCUCAGAAACCUGGGGCCAGUGCCGCGAUUCCCGCUCUCCCGGGCGGGGCGGAGGCAGGUGCGGAGCAUAUGGAGUCCGGCGGGUGGGCGUGGCGGGGAGCAGAGCUCUCUGCCCCCAUCCCGCCAGCUCUCCGGUCCGUUCCGAUCGCCCACGGACCGAUGGCCGAGCGGAAGAUGGCUGCCCGGAGCGCCACGGACAGUCACGUGCCACGGCGAUGCCGCUGCACGCCCCCUCCCCCGCUCGCCGAGUCCCGGACCCAGCGGGACGCGCAGCCCCGGGUUGCCUCUCCGCCAGCGGAGUACAGAACGGGCGAGGACAGCAUGAACAUCCAUAAAUGUGCCUGUGGGCAUAUUUAGCCAUUCGUUUUUGAUUAGGAAAAAGAAGACGGCCAUCCACUUGAAAGGCAAAGCUGCAGUGACCGAAGGAGUUGUGGAUUUUCUGAAUUUCAAGAACAGUGAAGUAGGAGAUAGCAGAGAGUGUAUAAAAGAACAC